UUAGAGUUUGAUCCUGGCUCAGGACGAACGCUGGCGGCGUGCUUAACACAUGCAAGUCGAGCGGUAAGGCCUUUCGGGGUACACGAGCGGCGAACGGGUGAGUAACACGUGGGUGAUCUGCCCUGCACUUCGGGAUAAGCCUGGGAAACUGGGUCUAAUACCGGAUAUGACCUCAGGUUGCAUGACUUGGGGUGGAAAGAUUUAUCGGUGCAGGAUGGGCCCGCGGCCUAUCAGCUUGUUGGUGGGGUAAUGGCCUACCAAGGCGACGACGGGUAGCCGACCUGAGAGGGUGACCGGCCACACUGGGACUGAGACACGGCCCAGACUCCUACGGGAGGCAGCAGUGGGGAAUAUUGCACAAUGGGCGAAAGCCUGAUGCAGCGACGCCGCGUGAGGGAUGACGGCCUUCGGGUUGUAAACCUCUUUCAGCAGGGACGAAGCGCAAGUGACGGUACCUGCAGAAGAAGCACCGGCUAACUACGUGCCAGCAGCCGCGGUAAUACGUAGGGUGCAAGCGUUGUCCGGAAUUA
Molecule: ribosomal RNA, 530 nt
Filed under: Rhodococcus sp. 1
Lineage: Bacteria; Bacillati; Actinomycetota; Actinomycetes; Mycobacteriales; Nocardiaceae
Description: bacterial SSU rRNA
Rfam family: Bacterial small subunit ribosomal RNA
Source: RNAcentral